Molecule: small RNA, 185 nt
Filed under: Cryptosporidium parvum
Lineage: Eukaryota; Apicomplexa; Conoidasida; Eucoccidiorida; Cryptosporidiidae
Source: RNAcentral
CAUGAUUGUUUAGAUACAAAUAUUUAAAGAGUUUGGAACAGAGAAUUAUUUUCAAAUGAAAAUUUAAGCGUAAAAAAAUAUAAGGACUCGUAUACUGUAUGAAUCUUUAUGCACUUAGAAUUUAUAAGCUGAAUAUUUGAGAGCUUAUUAAUUGGAAAGUUUCUAAUUAAUUUUAGGGAUUUUUC